This 77-nucleotide transfer RNA is filed under the name Clostridioides difficile. RNAcentral's name for it is "tRNA-Pro". It matches the Rfam family "tRNA". Rfam says of the family: Transfer RNA (tRNA) molecules are approximately 80 nucleotides in length. Their secondary structure includes four short double-helical elements and three loops (D, anti-codon, and T loops). The record is from RNAcentral. Lineage: Bacteria; Bacillati; Bacillota; Clostridia; Peptostreptococcales; Peptostreptococcaceae.
CGAGGUGUAGCGCAGUUUGGUAGCGCACAUGGUUUGGGACCAUGGGGCCGGGGGUUCGAGUACCUUCACCUCGACCA